UACGGGGGGGGCAAGCGUUGUUCGGAAUUACUGGGCGUAAAGGGUUCGUAGGUGGCCAACUAAGUCGGACGUGAAAUCCCUCAGCUUAACUGGGGAACUGCGUCUGAUACUGGUUGGCUUGAGUGCAGGAGAGGAACGCGGAAUUCCAGGUGUAGCGGUGAAAUGCGCAGAUAUCAGGAGGAACACCGGUGGCGAAGGCGGGUCUCUGGGCAACAACUGACGCUGAGGAGCGAAAGCGUGGGGAGCGAACAGG
RNAcentral lists this ribosomal RNA (253 nucleotides) under uncultured bacterium. RNAcentral describes it as "partial 16S ribosomal RNA". It matches the Rfam family "Bacterial small subunit ribosomal RNA", at positions 524 to 776 of the family's 1533-position model. The record is from RNAcentral.